Molecule: ribosomal RNA, 490 nt
Filed under: uncultured bacterium
Lineage: Bacteria
Description: partial 16S ribosomal RNA
Rfam family: Bacterial small subunit ribosomal RNA
Source: RNAcentral
AUUGAACGCUGGCGGCAGGCCUAACACAUGCAAUUCGAACGGUAACAGGAAGAAGCUUGCUUCUUUGCUGACGAGUGGCGAACGGGUGAGUAAUGUCUGGGAAACUGCCUGAUGGAGGGGGAUAACUACUGGAAACGGUAGCUAAUACCGCAUAACGUCGCAAGACCAAAAAGGGGGACCUUCGGGCCUCUUGCCAUCGGAUGUGCCCAGAUGGGAUUAGCUAGUAGGUGGGGUAACGGCUCACCUAGGCGACGAUCCCUAGCUGGUCUGAGAGGAUGACCAGCCACACUGGAACUGAGACACGGUCCAGACUCCUACGGGAGGCAGCAGUGGGGAAUAUUGCACAAUGGGCGCAAGCCUGAUGCAGCCAUGCCGCGUGUAUGAAGAAGGCCUUCGGGUUGUAAAGUACUUUCAGCGGGGAGGAAGGGAGUAAAGUUAAUACCUUUGCUCAUUGACGUUACCCGCAGAAGAAGCACCGGCUAACUCCGUG